RNAcentral lists this long non-coding RNA (1022 nucleotides) under Bemisia tabaci. RNAcentral's name for it is "lncRNA ENSASIAIIG001318". Lineage: Eukaryota; Metazoa; Arthropoda; Insecta; Hemiptera; Aleyrodidae. The record is from RNAcentral.
UUCUUGUAAAUAUCUUUCACACUGUGUACUUUCAUAGUUACAUAAUUUUAAGACAUGGACAACAUGAGAGGAAACUAACAAAGAUCAAUGUGGUAAAACUGAUUCCAUCUGGAGCCUUCCUAAUUAUUGCUUGUUUAAGAAUACUUUAUUUCCUCUGGAUAAUAUUAAAUAAAUCUCCAAUAGAGUUAUGACUCUUGCUUUGGAUGGCAGUGUAGCUUAGAGUAUUUUUUGUCUCUCCCACAGCGGUGUCUCCUGAGUUAAAAAAAUCUGAAACGCAGCUGAUUGACAGUUAUUACAUCCAGCAAAGGAACAAAUUCAUCAAAACAACUAAUCCGAAUAUAGAUCAAAAUAUCAACAAAAGCGACUCUAAUUUGUGGCUGAAUAAUGAUAAGCUGGGCUUUCGCUCUCCUUUAGAUGUGGCCCUUUUAUUCCAGCGGAGAGUCAUAAGCCCUUUUUUUAUUGCUUGUCAUGGAUUCCUAGCUGGAGUAGCAGUCAUGCAACUAGUCUUGGCAUAUUAUUUGAUCUCUGGGCACAAUUUUGAUCAAACUACAUCUGAAACUGUGUUUCGAGUGUAUCAGCAGUUGGCUUUGGUUGGACCUUCUUGCUUCGCAUUUUUCAUCUCAAUUUGUUUCAUGUCUAUACUGGACAGAGUUGAUCUUUUUCACAUUUUCAAGUGUGACCCUCGUGACUGGAUUUCUUACCGCCGCAGUUGGGCCAUUGGACUCAUUUAUUUCUGUGGCCUUGUCAUCAAUGCUGUUUGUUUUCGAUAUGAUCACAUGAUAUCACACUAUCCGUCAAAGGAUCCUACAAUUGUCAAUUUUCAAGGGACCUCACCGCCAGAAGUUGUUUCAGACUGGUAUAAAAACCAGAGCAUCUCAUCACUUGUAUCAACUUGGCAAAUUCUGAAUGCUGUAAGAUGUGUUUGUGCCAUCUUAGGAUGGAUUUUGCUUUGCUUUUCUCAGACAACUGACUUGUUAGCCGAUCACUUACAUGAGGUCCCUUUUUUGGUGGCGAAUCAGUAA